UCAGCGGCAGACGGGUGAGUAACACGUAGGUGACCUACCCUCGAGACGGGGAUAACGGCUGGAAACAGUCGCUAAUACCCGAUAGACUUACCAGGUCAAAGCGGUAAGAAAAGCUACGGUGCUUGAGGAGGGGCCUGCGGCCCAUCAGCUAGUUGGUAGGGUAACGGCCUACCAAGGCGAAGACGGGUAGGGGGUGUGAGAGCACGAGCCCCCACGAUGGGACUGCGACACGGCCCAUACUCCUACGGGAGGCAGCAGCAGGGAAUAUUGCACAAUGGACGGAAGUCUGAUGCAGCGACGCCGCGUGAGUGAAGACGGCCUUCGGGUUGUAAAGCUCUUUUACGGGGGACGAGGAAGGACGGUACCCUGGGAAGAAGUGUCGGCUAACUACGUGCCAGCAGCCGCGGUAAGACGUAGGACACAAGCGUUAUCCGGAGUUACUGGGCGUAAAGCGCCUGCAGGCGGCCUGGUAAGUUGGACGUGAAAGCCCCGUGCUUAACGCGGGGAGGUCGGACAAUACUGCCAAGCUAGAGUGCGUCAGAGGGGAGUGGAAUUUCCGGAGUAGCGGUAAAAUGCGCAGAUAUCGGAAGGAACACCAGUGGCGAAAGCGACUCCCUGGGGCGCGACUGACGCUAAGAGGCGAAAGCUAGGGGAGCGAACAGGAUUAGAGACCCUGGUAGUCCUAGCCCUAAACGAUGGAUGCUAGGUGUGGGACGUAAAGUUCCGUGCCGGAGCCAACGCGAUAAGCAUCCCGCCUGGGGACUACGGUCGCAAGGCUUAAAACUCAAACGAAUUGACGGGGACCCGCACAAGCAGCGGAGCGUGUGGUUCAAUUCGAUGCUACACGAAGAACCUUACCUGGGUUUGACAUGUACGUGGUAGAGAAGCGAAAGCGGAUUGACCCUUCGGGGAGCGUACACAGGUGCUGCAUGGCUGUCGUCAGCUCGUGCCGUGAGGUGUCGGGUUAAGUCCCGUAACGAGCGCAACCCUUAUCCUUAGUUGCACGUAUCUAGGGAGACUGCCGGCGGGAAGCCGGAGGAAGGUGGGGAUGACGUCAAGUCAGCAUGGCCCUUAUGUCCAGGGCUACACACACGCUACAAUGGCCGGUACAAAGGGCAGCAAAGUCGCGAGGCGGAGCGAAUCCCAACAAAGCCGGUCGUAGUUCGGAUUGCAGGCUGCAACUCGCCUGCAUGAAGCUGGAGUUGCUAGUAACCGCGCGUCAGCUAUAGUGCGGUGAAUACGUACCCGGGUCUUGUACACACCGCCCGUCACGUCAUGGAAGUCGGUAACGCCUGAAGGCGGUAGCCUAGCUCGGAAGAGGGGGCGCUGUCGAAGG
Molecule: ribosomal RNA, 1336 nt
Filed under: uncultured organism
Description: 16S ribosomal RNA
Rfam family: Bacterial small subunit ribosomal RNA
Source: RNAcentral